RNAcentral lists this transfer RNA (60 nucleotides) under Acinetobacter baumannii. RNAcentral's name for it is "tRNA-Phe". It matches the Rfam family "tRNA", at positions 7 to 64 of the family's 71-position model. Rfam says of the family: Transfer RNA (tRNA) molecules are approximately 80 nucleotides in length. Their secondary structure includes four short double-helical elements and three loops (D, anti-codon, and T loops). Lineage: Bacteria; Pseudomonadati; Pseudomonadota; Gammaproteobacteria; Moraxellales; Moraxellaceae. The record is from RNAcentral.
AUAGCUCAGUUGGUAGAGCAACGGAUUGAAAAUCCGUGUGUCCCCAGUUCGAUCCUGGGU